AAGAAGGAAAUUUGUCUGCUCCUUUCCUCUUGGGGCCCUGGUAUGCAAUGGCUGCAAACAGCAGCCUCUUUGGAAAUGUAUUCAGCCUGUUGCUUGUUUUGGCUGCUCUAGGGGACCUUGGAGACAUUC
This is a small nucleolar RNA of Nycticebus coucang (slow loris), 129 nucleotides long. RefSeq annotates it as small nucleolar RNA SNORA70. NCBI's taxonomy places the organism in Eukaryota, Metazoa, Chordata, Mammalia, Primates, Lorisidae. The transcript has a single exon. The record is from RefSeq and is a predicted model, not a curated record.